RNAcentral lists this ribosomal RNA (428 nucleotides) under uncultured Anaerobacillus sp. RNAcentral describes it as "bacterial SSU rRNA". It matches the Rfam family "Bacterial small subunit ribosomal RNA", at positions 353 to 772 of the family's 1533-position model. Lineage: Bacteria; Bacillati; Bacillota; Bacilli; Caryophanales; Bacillaceae. The record is from RNAcentral.
AGUAGGGAAUCUUCCGCAAUGGACGAAAGUCUGACGGAGCAACGCCGCGUGAGCGAUGAAGGCCUUCGGGUCGUAAAGCUCUGUUGUUAGGGAAGAACAAGUACCGUUCGAAUAGGGCGGUACCUUGACGGUACCUAACCAGAAAGCCACGGCUAACUACGUGCCAGCAGCCGCGGUAAUACGUAGGUGGCAAGCGUUGUCCGGAAUUAUUGGGCGUAAAGCGCGCGCAGGCGGUCUUUUAAGUCUGAUGUGAAAGCCCCCGGCUCAACCGGGGAGGGUCAUUGGAAACUGGGAGACUUGAGUGCAGAAGAGGAAAGUGGAAUUCCAUGUGUAGCGGUGAAAUGCGUAGAGAUAUGGAGGAACACCAGUGGCGAAGGCGACUUUCUGGUCUGUAACUGACACUGAGGCGCGAAAGCGUGGGGAGCAAA